AUAUGCUUGGUGUAUGAUGCACACAAAUUUUUGAUAUUUGAAGGGUUAGUUUAAAUCUAAUAGCUUAUA
This 69-nucleotide transfer RNA is filed under the name Nauphoeta cinerea (gray cockroach). Its description in RNAcentral is "tRNA-Gln". Lineage: Eukaryota; Metazoa; Arthropoda; Insecta; Blattodea; Blaberidae. The record is from RNAcentral.